This 667-nucleotide unclassified non-coding RNA is filed under the name Hevea brasiliensis (rubber tree). The record is from RNAcentral. Lineage: Eukaryota; Viridiplantae; Streptophyta; Magnoliopsida; Malpighiales; Euphorbiaceae.
AGCACAGGCAAAAUAAGGGUGGCAUUCAUUAUUUUGGCCACAGCCACUGCAUUGCAUAUAGCAAUCCUUUGCUGAUUCAAACCACCCUCAGCAUGGAUAAAUAUGUAACCAGUUGUUUCAUUCUCUGGAGGAACAUCAGAUAUUCCACCAUUGCGGCGCUCAGCACAAGGCUUCCAAGAGGUUGUUGCAGAAUAUGGAUUCUCCCAGAGCGAAGCAGGUUCCUUGACAUAUGGACAAUGAAGUACAAUUCCAUCUUUUUUACACAAGUAGGUAUUAUAGUUCUUGAUGGAAGAUCGAGAAAACCGAGAUCAAUGCAGCAAGAACUAUAAUACCGAGCAAAAUUAACGAGAUCCUGGAAUUGCAAGGAGAAAACCUAAGAUCGUCACCGAAGAAUGGUAGAUUGGACCAAAACGGACGGUCACGAUCUCUGGUGAAGUGAUGACGGGCGUGGUGGUGAUCGUCGUCAUCUGUAACAUUUUCGUGUAUAAGAGGCGACGCGUCCUCAUCCCGCUUCAUUGGAGAGUUGGAAGCUCUGGCCCCGAGAGAGCUCGAGUGCCUGAGCUCCGCCAUAGCUCGCUUCGGACUGAAAGCCAGCUCCUAAUGAAACUGAAAAAGACCUCCCGCUUUUAUUUUUCACUCACCGUCGUAGCAGUGGCCGUGGUAGUGG